GAUGAACGCUGGCGGCGUGCCUAAUACAUGCAAGUCGAGCGAGCGGACGAGAAGCUUGCUUCUCUGAUGUUAGCGGCGGACGGGUGAGUAACACGUGGAUAACCUACCUAUAAGACUGGGAUAACUUCGGGAAACCGGAGCUAAUACCGGAUAAUAUUUUGAACCGCAUGGUUCAAAAGUGAAAGACGGUCUUGCUGUCACUUAUAGAUGGAUCCGCGCUGCAUUAGCUAGUUGGUAAGGUAACGGCUUACCAAGGCAACGAUGCAUAGCCGACCUGAGAGGGUGAUCGGCCACACUGGAACUGAGACACGGUCCAGACUCCUACGGGAGGCAGCAGUAGGGAAUCUUCCGCAAUGGGCGAAAGCCUGACGGAGCAACGCCGCGUGAGCGAUGAAGGUCUUCGGAUCGUAAAACUCUGUUAUUAGGGAAGAACAUAUGUGUAAGUAACUGUGCACAUCUUGACGGUACCUAAUCAGAAAGCCACGGCUAACUACGUG
RNAcentral lists this ribosomal RNA (497 nucleotides) under uncultured bacterium. Its description in RNAcentral is "partial 16S ribosomal RNA". It matches the Rfam family "Bacterial small subunit ribosomal RNA", at positions 28 to 507 of the family's 1533-position model. The record is from RNAcentral.